Long non-coding RNA from Heteronotia binoei (common prickly gecko), 427 nucleotides. RefSeq lists it as uncharacterized. The record is from RefSeq and is a predicted model, not a curated record. The transcript is spliced from 3 exons. NCBI's taxonomy places the organism in Eukaryota, Metazoa, Chordata, Lepidosauria, Squamata, Gekkonidae.
CUUCAGAUUAAUUUAGUUUUGUUUUUGUUAUUACAGAUCCCACCCUAUGUUUCAACAGGGCUGAUUUCUGCUCACUGCCUACAAAUAAGUGCCUUGACAAACAAUAUUACAUCUGUUCAAGCAAACAAGCAUUUGCUUGCCGUAUUUUAUUCAAAAACCGGAACUUCGUAUUUCCUGAUCUUUAUAACUCUGAAAGUGAGACCUAUAGGAAUCUGUCUAGUAGGAUCAAAAAAAUGGUUAUUAAAGGAAUGACAAGUAAGCUUGGAGGUGACAACUUUGAUGUCAUAAUGGUUGGAUACCAAAAUGGAAGUUUGAAAGCAUAUUUUGUACUUCUAACAUAUGGGCAACAGUUCAUUGAAGCAAGAAAUCUUACAGCAGAUUUAACUGAAGUGAUACAAACAAUGUUUGAUAACCAAACUGAAGUAAC